AGCAACGACGCAGAUGAGGUAUUAUCGCCAAUCUCAGUACCGAACACAGUAGUUAAGCCCAUACGCCGAAAGUACUUGGUUGGAAACGGCCUGGGAGGAUAGGUAGUUGCUGGUU
RNAcentral lists this ribosomal RNA (115 nucleotides) under Pelosinus sp. UFO1. The record is from RNAcentral. Lineage: Bacteria; Bacillati; Bacillota; Negativicutes; Selenomonadales; Sporomusaceae.